This 395-nucleotide unclassified non-coding RNA is filed under the name soil metagenome. RNAcentral's name for it is "partial contains 5.8S ribosomal RNA, internal transcribed spacer 2, and large subunit ribosomal RNA". The stretch from base 1 to 121 matches the Rfam family "5.8S ribosomal RNA", at positions 35 to 154 of the family's 154-position model. The record is from RNAcentral.
GAUGAAGAACGUAGCGAACGUGCGAAACGUAAUGUGAAUUGCAGAAUUCAGUGAAUCAUCGAAUCUUUGAACGCAUCUUGCGCUCCUUGGUAUUCCGAGGAGCAUGCCUGUUUGAGUGUCGUGAAUACUCUCAACUUCAACCCUUUUUUCGGAAAGGGAGGAAGGUUGGACUUGGGUGUUUGUUGAAGUGCGAGCUUCGACUCAUCCUAAAUGCAUUAGCGUUCUGCCUCGAUCACACACAAUGUGAUAAUUAAAACUAAAGCAUUGUUUAAUGAUCAAGUCGAGACUGCUUCUAACUGUCGCAAGACAAUAACGUGCAUACAUUUGUGCAUGUCAUUUGACCUCAAAUCAGGUAGGACUACCCGCUGAACUUAAGCAUAUCAAUAAGCGGAGGA